Molecule: non-coding RNA, 121 nt
Organism: Pelobates cultripes (western spadefoot toad)
Lineage: Eukaryota; Metazoa; Chordata; Amphibia; Anura; Pelobatidae
Source: the annotation of a GenBank genome assembly
AAAUAGCUGUACAAAAUAUUUACCUAUCAAGUGGACAGAGCUGGACACCCAAUGUUUCGGCUGCAAGGUGUCCAGCUCUGUCCACUUGAUAGGUAAAUAUUUUGUACAGCUAUUUAUUUAU